This 460-nucleotide ribosomal RNA is filed under the name uncultured bacterium. RNAcentral describes it as "partial 16S ribosomal RNA". It matches the Rfam family "Bacterial small subunit ribosomal RNA", at positions 338 to 795 of the family's 1533-position model. The record is from RNAcentral.
CCUACGGGUGGCAGCAGUGAGGAAUAUUGGUCAAUGGGCGCUAGCCUGAACCAGCCAAGUAGCGUGAAGGAUGACUGCCCUAUGGGUUGUAAACCUCUUUUAUAUGGGAAUAAAGUGCAGUAUGUAUACUGCUUUUCAUGUUCCUUAUGAAUAAGGAUCGGCUAACUCCGUGCCAGCAGCCGGGGUAAUACGGAGGAUCCGAGCGUUAUCCGGAUUUAUUGGGGUUAAAGGGAGGGUAGGCGGGUUGUUAAGUCCGUUGUGAAAGUUUGCGGCUCAAACGUAAAAUUGCAGUUGAUACUGGCAUCCUUGAGUACAGUAGAGGUAGGCGGAAUGCGUGGUGUAGCGGUGAAAUGCUUAGAUAUCACGAAGAACUCCGAUUGCGAAGGCAGCAUGCUGGCGUGUAACUGACGCUGAUGCUCGAAAGUGUGGGUAUCAAACAGGAUUAGAUACCCGAGUAGUC